This 320-nucleotide unclassified non-coding RNA is filed under the name uncultured fungus. RNAcentral's name for it is "partial contains 5.8S rRNA and ITS2". The record is from RNAcentral. Lineage: Eukaryota; Fungi.
AACGCAAAUUGCGCCCUCUCGAGGGCAUGUCUGUCUGAGCGUCACCGCACCCCCCUCACCCCAGCGCUCCCUCUCUGAGAAGCGCCGGUGGCUGGAUCUGGCCCCCUGGCGUGAAACCCCGCGAGAGCGGGGCGGAACGCGAGCCGGCUGAAAGGCAUGCGCGGCCGCACCCGCCGAGAGAGCGGGCAACGUGGUAAUCCGCUGGUCGGAGGAUCGUUGCCCGAGAGCCUCUCGGCACCCAGAGGUGCGCGCCGGAAGCAGGAACGCUUCCCAAACCCAACCUUGCCCUCAGAUCAGGCAAGCCCACCCGCCGAAUUUAA